Molecule: ribosomal RNA, 253 nt
Filed under: uncultured Pseudomonas sp.
Lineage: Bacteria; Pseudomonadati; Pseudomonadota; Gammaproteobacteria; Pseudomonadales; Pseudomonadaceae
Description: partial 16S ribosomal RNA
Rfam family: Bacterial small subunit ribosomal RNA
Source: RNAcentral
CGGACGGGUGAGUAAUGCCUAGGAAUCUGCCUGGUAUGGGGGACAACGUUUCGAAAGGAACGCUAAUACCGCAUACGUCCUACGGGAGAAAGCAGGGGACCUUCGGGCCUUGCGCUAUCAGAUGAGCCUAGGUCGGAUUAGCUAGUUGGUGAGGUAAUGGCUCACCAAGGCGACGAUCCGUAACUGGUCUGAGAGGAUGAUCAGUCACACUGGAACUGAGACACGGUCCAGACUCCUACGGGAGGCAGCAGUU